This 79-nucleotide microRNA precursor is filed under the name Adineta vaga. RNAcentral's name for it is "mir-8/mir-141/mir-200 microRNA precursor family". The stretch from base 5 to 75 matches the Rfam family "mir-8/mir-141/mir-200 microRNA precursor family". Rfam says of the family: The bounds of the precursors are predicted based on conservation and base pairing and are not generally known. The record is from RNAcentral. Lineage: Eukaryota; Metazoa; Rotifera; Eurotatoria; Adinetida; Adinetidae.
ACUAAAUGUCAUCUUACUAUACAGCAUUAGUUCGAAAAUCAAGAAUUGCUAAUACUGUCAGGUAAAGAUGGCCUACGGA